RNAcentral lists this ribosomal RNA (490 nucleotides) under uncultured bacterium. RNAcentral's name for it is "partial 16S ribosomal RNA". It matches the Rfam family "Bacterial small subunit ribosomal RNA", at positions 30 to 507 of the family's 1533-position model. The record is from RNAcentral.
AUUGAACGCUGGCGGCAGGCCUAACACAUGCAAGUCGAACGGUAACAGGAAACAGCUUGCUGUUUCGCUGACGAGUGGCGGACGGGUGAGUAAUGUCUGGGAAACUGCCUGAUGGAGGGGGAUAACUACUGGAAACGGUAGCUAAUACCGCAUAACGUCGCAAGACCAAAGAGGGGGACCUUCGGGCCUCUUGCCAUCGGAUGUGCCCAGGUGGGAUUAGCUAGUAGGUGGGGUAACGGCUCACCUAGGCGACGAUCCCUAGCUGGUCUGAGAGGAUGACCAGCCACACUGGAAGUGAGACACGGUCCAGACUCCUACGGGAGGCAGCAGUGGGGAAUAUUGCACAGUGGGCGCAAGCCUGAUGCAGCCAUGCCGCGUGUAUGAAGAAGGCCUUCGGGUUGUAAAGUACUUUCUGCGGGGAUGAAGGGAGUAAAGUUAAUACCUUUGCUCAUUGACGUUACCCGCAGAAGAAGCACCGGCUAACUCCGUG